RNAcentral lists this ribosomal RNA (873 nucleotides) under uncultured Actinomycetes bacterium. Its description in RNAcentral is "bacterial SSU rRNA". It matches the Rfam family "Bacterial small subunit ribosomal RNA", at positions 36 to 914 of the family's 1533-position model. Lineage: Bacteria; Bacillati; Actinomycetota; Actinomycetes. The record is from RNAcentral.
CUGGCGGUGCGCCUUAUGCAUGCAAGUUGAGCGAAGCUUUUUGGUAGUUUACUACUAGAAAUGACUAAGCGGCGAACGGGUGAGUAACGCGUGAGCAAUCUACCUUAGUUACUGGGAUAGCCCGAGGAAACUCGGAUUAAUACCGGAUAUUCUUAUUUUUUCACAUGAAGUUUUAAGGAAAGGUCAGCCGAACUAAGAUGAGCUCGCGUUCUAUCAGCUAGUUGGUGGGGUAAAAGCCUACCAAGGCUACGACGGAUAGCUGGUCUGAGAGGACGAUCAGCCACACUGGGACUGAGACACGGCCCAGACUCCUACGGGAGGCUGCAGCAGGGAAUAUUGUGCAAUGAGCGAAAGCUUGACACAGCGACACCGCGUGUGGGAUGACGGUUCUAGGAUUGUAAACCACUUUCAGGAGGGAAGAAAAUGACGGUACCUCCACAAGAAGACCCGGCCAACUAUGUGCCAGCAGCCGCGGUAAUACAUAGGGGUCAAGCGUUGUCCGGAUUUAUUGGGCGUAAAGAGCUCGUAGGCGGUUCAACAAGUCGGUCGUAAAAGUUUAGGGCUCAACCCUAAAAUGUCGAUCGAUACUGUUGUGACUAGGAUACGGUAGAGGUGAAUGGAAUUCCGAGUGUAGCGGUGAAAUGCGUAGAUAUUCGGAGGAACACCAAUUGCGAAGGCAGUUCACUGGACCGUGAUCGACGCUGAGGAGCGAAAGCUAGGGGAGCAAACAGGAUUAGAUACCCUGGUAGUCCUAGCUGUAAACGAUGGAUACUAGAUGUAGGAACUGGAUUGACGGUUUCUGUAUCGUAGCUAACGCGUUAAGUAUCCCGCCUGGGGAGUACGGUCGCAAGACUAAAACUCAAAGGAAUUGAC